This 506-nucleotide ribosomal RNA is filed under the name uncultured bacterium. Its description in RNAcentral is "partial 16S ribosomal RNA". It matches the Rfam family "Bacterial small subunit ribosomal RNA", at positions 28 to 523 of the family's 1533-position model. The record is from RNAcentral.
GAUGAACGCUAGCUACAGGCUUAACACAUGCAAGUCGAGGGGUAACAAGGGGAAAGCUUGCUUUCCUUGUUGACGACCGGCGCACGGGUGAGUAACGCGUAUCCAACCUGCCUAUAACUAGGGAAUAACCUUGCGAAAGUAAGACUAAUACCCUAUGAUUUCCUUUGAUGACAUCAGAUUAGGAAUAAAGAUUUAUCGGUUAUAGAUGGGGAUGCGUCUGAUUAGCUUGUUGGCGGGGUAACGGCCCACCAAGGCAACGAUCAGUAGGGGUUCUGAGAGGAAGGUCCCCCACAUUGGAACUGAGACACGGUCCAAACUCCUACAGGAGGCAGCAGUGAGGAAUAUUGGUCAAUGGGCGGAAGCCUGAACCAGCCAAGUAGCGUGCAGGAUGACGGCCCUAUGGGUUGUAAACUGCUUUUAUACAGGAAUAAAGUUAGCCACGUGUGGUUAUUUGUAGGUACUGUAUGAAUAAGGACCGGCUAAUUCCGUGCCAGCCGCCGCCGUAA